GACGAACGCUGGUGGCGUGCUUAACACAUGCAAGUCGAACGGAAAGGCCCUGCUUUUGUGGGGUGCUCGAGUGGCGAACGGGUGAGUAACACGUGAGUAACCUGCCCUUGACUUUGGGAUAACUUCAGGAAACUGGGGCUAAUACCGGAUAGGAGCUCCUGCUGCAUGGUGGGGGUUGGAAAGUUUCGGCGGUUGGGGAUGGACUCGCGGCUUAUCAGCUUGUUGGUGGGGUAGUGGCUUACCAAGGCUUUGACGGGUAGCCGGCCUGAGAGGGUGACCGGCCACAUUGGGACUGAGAUACGGCCCAGACUCCUACGGGAGGCAGCAGUGGGGAAUAUUGCACAAUGGGCGGAAGCCUGAUGCAGCAACGCCGCGUGCGGGAUGACGGCCUUCGGGUUGUAAACCGCUUUCGCCUGUGACGAAGCGUGAGUGACGGUAAUGGGUAAAGAAGCACCGGCUAACUACGUGCCAGCAGCCGCGGUGAUACGUAGGGUGCGAGCGUUGUCCGGAUUUAUUGGGCGUAAAGGGCUCGUAGGUGGUUGAUCGCGUCGGAAGUGUAAUCUUGGGGCUUAACCCUGAGCGUGCUUUCGAUACGGGUUGACUUGAGGAAGGUAGGGGAGAAUGGAAUUCCUGGUGGAGCGGUGGAAUGCGCAGAUAUCAGGAGGAACACCAGUGGCGAAGGCGGUUCUCUGGGCCUUUCCUGACGCUGAGGAGCGAAAGCGUGGGGAGCGAACAGGCUUAGAUACCCUGGUAGUCCACGCUGUAAACGGUGGGUACUAGGUGUGGGGUCCAUUCCACGGGUUCCGUGCCGUAGCUAACGCUUUAAGUACCCCGCCUGGGGAGUACGGCCGCAAGGCUAAAACUCAAAGGAAUUGACGGGGCCCCGCACAAGCGGCGGAGCAUGCGGAUUAAUUCGAUGCAACGCGUAGAACCUUACCUGGGUUUGACAUGGAUCGGGAGUGCUCAGAGAUGGGUGUGCCUCUUUUGGGGUCGGUUCACAGGUGGUGCAUGGCUGUCGUCAGCUCGUGUCGUGAGAUGUUGGGUUAAGUCCCGCAACGAGCGCAACCCUUGUUCACUGUUGCCAGCACGUUAUGGUGGGGACUCAGUGGAGACCGCCAGGGUCAACUCGGAGGAAGGUGGGGAUGACGUCAAGUCAUCAUGCCCCUUAUGUCCAGGGCUUCACGCAUGCUACAAUGGCUGGUACAGAGAGUGGCGAGCCUGUGAGGGUGAGCGAAUCUCGGAAAGCCGGUCUCAGUUCGGAUUGGGGUCUGCAACUCGACCUCAUGAAGUCGGAGUCGCUAGUAAUCGCAGAUCAGCAACGCUGCGGUGAAUACGUUCCCGGGGCU
This 1346-nucleotide ribosomal RNA is filed under the name uncultured bacterium. Its description in RNAcentral is "partial 16S ribosomal RNA". It matches the Rfam family "Bacterial small subunit ribosomal RNA", at positions 28 to 1381 of the family's 1533-position model. The record is from RNAcentral.